This 76-nucleotide transfer RNA is filed under the name Gammaproteobacteria bacterium. Its description in RNAcentral is "tRNA-Glu". It matches the Rfam family "tRNA". Rfam says of the family: Transfer RNA (tRNA) molecules are approximately 80 nucleotides in length. Lineage: Bacteria; Pseudomonadati; Pseudomonadota; Gammaproteobacteria. The record is from RNAcentral.
GAUCCGGUGGGCGAAUGGCUAAGCCACGAGGCCUUCAACCUCGUAAUUGCGAGUUCGAAUCUCGUCCGGAUCACCA